RNAcentral lists this ribosomal RNA (468 nucleotides) under uncultured bacterium. RNAcentral describes it as "partial 16S ribosomal RNA". It matches the Rfam family "Bacterial small subunit ribosomal RNA", at positions 28 to 507 of the family's 1533-position model. The record is from RNAcentral.
GACGAACGCUGGCGGCGUGCUUAACACAUGCAAGUCGAACGGAAAGGCCCUGCUUUUGUGGGGUGCUCGAGUGGCGAACGGGUGAGUAACACGUGAGUAACCUGCCCUUGACUUUGGGAUAACUUCAGGAAACUGGGGCUAAUACCGGAUAGGAGCUCCUGCUGCAUGGUGGGGGGUGGAAAGUUUCGGCGGUUGGGGAUGGACUCGCGGCUUAUCAGCUUGUUGGUGGGGUAGUGGCUUACCAAGGCUUCGACGGGUAGCCGGCCUGAGAGGGUGACCGGCCACACUGGGACUGAGAUACGGCCCAGACUCCUACGGGAGGCAGCAGUGGGGAAUAUUGCACAAUGGGCGGAAGCCUGAUGCAGCAACGCCGCGUGAGGGAUGACGGCCUUCGGGUUGUAAACCGCUUUCGGCUGUGACGAAGCGUGAGUGACGGUAAUGGGUAAAGAAGCACCGGCUAACUACGUG